CAAGAAAUAGUUUAAAUAAAAUAUUAAUUUUGGAGAUUAAUGAUAAAAAUUUUUUUUUCUUGA
RNAcentral lists this transfer RNA (63 nucleotides) under Ocyptamus sativus. RNAcentral describes it as "tRNA-Pro". The record is from RNAcentral. Lineage: Eukaryota; Metazoa; Arthropoda; Insecta; Diptera; Syrphidae.